Molecule: ribosomal RNA, 497 nt
Filed under: uncultured bacterium
Lineage: Bacteria
Description: partial 16S ribosomal RNA
Rfam family: Bacterial small subunit ribosomal RNA
Source: RNAcentral
GAUGAACGCUGGCGGCGUGCCUAAUACAUGCAAGUCGAGCGAACGGACGAGAAGCUUGCUUCUCUGAUGUUAGCGGCGGACGGGUGAGUAACACGUGUAUAACCUCCCUAUAAGACUGGGAUAACUUCGGGAAACCGGCGCUAAUACCGGAUAAUAUUUUGAACCGCAUGGUUCAAAAGUAAAAGACGGUCUUUCUGUCACUUAUAGAUGCAUCCGCGCUGCAUUAGCUAGUUGGUAAGGUAACGGCUUACCAAGGCAACGAUGCAUAGCCGACCUGAGAGGGUGAUCGGCCACACUGGAACUGAAACACGGUCCAGACUCCUACGGGAGGCAGCAGUAGGGAAUCUUCCGCAAUGGGCGAAAGCCUGACGGAGCAACGCCGCGUGAGUGAUGAAGGUCUUCGGAUCGUAAAACUCUGUUAUUAGGGAAGAACAUAUGUGUAAGUAACUGUGCACAUCUUGACGGUACCUAAUCAGAAAGCCACGGCUAACUACGUG